GUCAUCGCGAGGCGGGGUCUGAAGGAAACGUGUAGCAAAGCCAUGACCUGACGAACAGAAACCAGAUGUGAGGCCUACCCGGGCGGACGAGCGAGCCAAUGAUCGCGAAGUCCAUAGCCAUCAAGGUCCGGGGUGGUAGAUCUGACGGGUGUAUGGCGAAGGCGGUUGGG
Non-coding RNA from Candidatus Burkholderia pumila, 170 nucleotides. The record is from Rfam. NCBI's taxonomy places the organism in Bacteria, Pseudomonadati, Pseudomonadota, Betaproteobacteria, Burkholderiales, Burkholderiaceae.